CGAGGACAUCUAUGGUGUCCUUCACACUGUGGAUGGACUGCGCGCGGCGGCGCGUUGUUUGGUAUUAUAGUACACAAUGGUUGUAGAUGAGAUGAUCGAGGAGGCUAGUGCGGUCGCUUGUGGUCUAGCCUCGACCACAACCACAUACAACAAGGGAUCAAGAUCGAUGGAGAGACGGAUAGACAGAGGUCAUUGACAUUGACUGGGUCUGUCCAGGACCAGGAGUGAGCGUUUUAAUAUUGUGAGACCCGAGUGACAUUAAGAAAUAAAUUUGAGGACCAUACUGAGAUGCGAUGAAAAUAAAGUGCAGUGAGAUCCGAACAUUGUUUAGAUAUCUGAACGAACAUUUUGCAAGUUUUGAGACCAGGAUAACAUAACGAUACAAGUUUAGGGAUAGAUGGUAUAUAUAUUUUACUCUAUAUUUAAGUAGCAAAGUAACCCCCUCCUGCUUUUAAGAAAACACUAUAUAUGUGUAGUAUUACAUAAUAGCCAGGAAGGGACAAUUUAUUAUAUUUAAGAAACGCCAAGCUAGGAUCAUUGCAACAUGGCUAGUUGGAUCAGAGUGCUAGCAUGUGUAGCACCAGCAUUUGAAGUCGCAGUCACAAUCGCCGUACAUGUUCUCGGAGCUCUCAGCUAUGCAUGUAUCACCGCAACUGUCGUCAAAGCCCCAGCACGGUCCUUUAUAAUUGCCGCUCAGGUGCCGGCAAUCAAGGUGUUCAACCUCGCAUGCAAAUGCCAUUGAACACACGGGACAUACUAGCACAUGCAAGAAAUCUUGUUAAUUAGCCGAAAGAUUAAUCAAACAACAAAUUAACUUGCAUAAAUAAACCAGACAAUUCAAUGCCAAAACUUAAGUUGUUUGGAGACACUUAUAUUUCCAAUAGUUCAAACAUGUGCACGUACGUACCGGCGGCCACGAUGACAAUUAGAAGCACGACUGCAGCAAGACGAUUCUUUCUUGAAGGUGCCAUUGGUUUUUUGUGGAAGUUUUUGUACGUUAGAAGAAAAGAAUGAGUGAGGAGGCCAGUGGACGAUCUGAGUGACGAGAAGCCCGACAAUAUAUAUAUAUAAUAAAUCACAUGCCUAGUAUGUUCCGCGCCGUAGAAGCAUACAUGGGUAUUAUCGAGAGUCCAUGCAUGGCGGAGGGAAGGGGGGGCUGAGGGGGGCCUGGCACCCCCCAACCUUCCCAUAACUCCCUUAAUACACCACAUAGAUUAGAUGUUUAAUUAUCUAAUUAGCUAGUUAAUGAUAUUAUCUGUACUAAGAUUUUUAUUCUUAUUUUAUAUUAAUCUCUAAUAGUUUCUUAUACAAAUAGAAUCUAGAUCUUUCUAAUAUUUUCUUCAUAUCUUUUAUUUUUAUUAUUGCCUAUCAAACAUCAAUUUGUCUCCUACCACACACUCUAAUUAGCUAGUUAAUUGAAAAUCACCGUUUUCCUUGUUUAAUCCUUCUGAUUGAUCUCCAACGAUGGGAUCUAUAUUAUUUAGUAUUAGUCUUGCUAUUAUCUUUCUUAUCUCCUGUGCUUCUAUCAAUAUUCGUCUAAACUCUAAACGGUCAUUUAGCCCGUUGUACUCAACUUUUAAACACUAACAAUGGUAUGGUGUUUCUGUUUAACCUUCUAUUUAAAUAACCGUUUUACCUGUUUAAGUGAUCGUUUUGUCUAAGACUAAAUGAUAUGUAACUGAUUGUUUGUCAUUUGAUGUUAGGAUCUAGUACUAAUUAAUUUUGCCCCCAUUUAACUACUUGUUUUUAUUGUGAUUCUUUUCCUGGACAAAGAAAUAGAAUGAUCAGGUGAAUGUUAGAGGCUUGAGACUAGUUAAAUUUUUCUUUUAUUUUUUUAGUUUUUCUGCUUUUUUUGCAUCGCAACACAAACGUUUAUUUUGGUGCUAUGUACACCUUUGUCAUGUAAUAUUUUGACACACAUGAUUGUUCUUGGUUUGCACGGCCCCCCCUAUGUUCAAAUCCUGGCUCCGCCCCUGCAUGCAUCAUCCACAUUAUAUUAUAUUGUCAGCAUUUGAUGACCGAUUUGAACUGAAGGACAGGUUAACAUAGCUUAAUAUGCCAAAGAAAACAUGACACCAAGUUGCAUUGGUACUAACGUACGUACCUUGUCUGCUUAUACACUCGAUCGUUUCCAAUGUAUGAAUAUUGAGUCACAGACACACUACUGUGUUCAGAAAAUAAAAUUGUUGUAUGUGUGAGUUUCAGUUUCAGUUUGAGCUCCCCGAGAGACCCUGCUCUGGGCGAUGACCCCUAGAGGUGGUGAUUUUUAUAUGCUACUCCCUUCGGUCCGUUUUAUGUGGCGUGAGCUAGUUUCGGAGAAUGGCCAUUUUAUCUGACGUAGCACCAUGACAUACGCUCUUAUUAAAUUGUAUGUAGCAGUCACCAAGCAGUUUUUUUUCCUUUCCCACCCUAUGCAUGCGUGCGUGCAUAAUUGAUCUGUAAUCACAUUGGCAUGCUUUUUCUCCUGCAUGCAGUUGUUAACGGCUCCACUAAAUAUAGAAAACAAAGCUAGAUUAAAUUAUUCUUGGUACGUGGAAUCCUAGUGUUGAUGCCAGAUAAAUAGGACCAGAGGAAGUAGCAAACAUGCCCGUACAUUAUAACAAGAUUUGUCAAUUGUUCUAAUACGCUUUAGAAUUAGACUCCAUACUUUUUAUAUGCUAGUAAACAUGUACAUACAUUGCAACAGGAUUUGUCAUUUAUUCUAAUACGCUUUAGAAUUAGACUCCAUACAUUGGUUAGACAUAUGCUAUCUAACUCGUAUGACUACAUCACAAUAUUGAGAUUAGUGAUGGAUGAUCUGGCGCUAAAAGUUGAUACAACGACGGAUGAUUUGACGCUAAAAAGCUUAUAGCAUUAGACUUCUACAGACAUGGAAUCUUUAGUGUCAAACAAUACUUUUAACGACAGACCAUCUGUUGCCCUGAAUGUAUAUAGCUACAAUCCCCGUUGCUAAGUUUUAGCUAAUCAUAUAGCGACAGAUCAUCCAAUAGUCCAUGUAUUUAUAGCGUCACAUUGUUCAAGGACAAUAUAAAUAUGCUAAAAAUAAAUACAAUUAGAAAAUAUUUAUC
RNAcentral lists this long non-coding RNA (3068 nucleotides) under Sorghum bicolor (sorghum). RNAcentral's name for it is "long non-coding RNA (SBIC_LNC005982)". Lineage: Eukaryota; Viridiplantae; Streptophyta; Magnoliopsida; Poales; Poaceae. The record is from RNAcentral.